Molecule: ribosomal RNA, 253 nt
Filed under: uncultured bacterium
Lineage: Bacteria
Description: partial 16S ribosomal RNA
Rfam family: Bacterial small subunit ribosomal RNA
Source: RNAcentral
UACGUAGGGUGCAAGCGUUGUCCGUAAUUAUUGGGCGUAAAGAGCUCGUAGGCGGUUUGUUGCGUCGGCUGUGAAAUCCCGAGGCUCAACCUCGGGUCUGCAGUCGAUACGAGCAAACUAGAGUGUUGCAGGGGAGACUGGAAUUCCUGGUGUAGCGGUGAAAUGCGCAGAUAUCAGGAGGAACACCGGUGGCGAAGGCGGGUCUCUGGGCAACAACUGACGCUGAGGAGCGAAAGCGUGGGGAGCGAACAGG